RNAcentral lists this non-coding RNA (25 nucleotides) under Cricetulus griseus (Chinese hamster). The record is from RNAcentral. Lineage: Eukaryota; Metazoa; Chordata; Mammalia; Rodentia; Cricetidae.
CUGGCUGCUCUUCCAGAAGACCUGA